GACGAACGCUGGCGGCGUGCCUAAUACAUGCAAGUAGAACGCACAGUUUAUACCGUAGCUUGCUACACCAUAGACUGUGAGUUGCGAACGGGUGAGUAACGCGUAGGUAACCUGCCUGGUAGCGGGGGAUAACUAUUGGAAACGAUAGCUAAUACCGCAUAAUAUUAAUUAUUGCAUGAUAAUUAAUUGAAAGGUGCAAUUGCACCACUACCAGAUGGACCUGCGUUGUAUUAGCUAGUAGGUGAGGUAACGGCUCACCUAGGCGACGAUACAUAGCCGACCUGAGAGGGUGAUCGGCCACACUGGGACUGAGACACGGCCCAGACUCCUACGGGAGGCAGCAGUAGGGAAUCUUCGGCAAUGGACGAAAGUCUGGCCGAGCAACGCCGCGUGAGUGAAGAAGGUUUUCGGAUCGUAAAGCUCUGUUGUAAGAGAAGAACGGGUGUGAGAGUGGAAAGUUCACACUGUGACGGUAUCUUACCAGAAAGGGACGGCUAACUACGUG
RNAcentral lists this ribosomal RNA (505 nucleotides) under uncultured bacterium. Its description in RNAcentral is "partial 16S ribosomal RNA". It matches the Rfam family "Bacterial small subunit ribosomal RNA", at positions 28 to 507 of the family's 1533-position model. The record is from RNAcentral.